Podarcis muralis (Common wall lizard) is the source of this 931-nucleotide non-coding RNA. The record is from RefSeq and is a predicted model, not a curated record. NCBI's taxonomy places the organism in Eukaryota, Metazoa, Chordata, Lepidosauria, Squamata, Lacertidae.
UUUUCCUAUCUUGGGCUGCAGCUCCCUCCUUGCACCGCUUAUUCUGUUAUCAAUAGGUUGAGCACUGUUUUCCUUUUGGGUGCCUUAAAAACAUAUAGCAGCCUUACAAAAAAAAAUGGAGGGGGGGGGAGAGGAAGAAAGUGACAGUGUUUGUUGCCACUUCAAUCUCUAGGACCAGCCACAAGAUGAAAACGUCUGUUUCACAGCUGCAGCGAGACACUGUUUAAAAUUGCAGAGGCAGAAAUGGUCCUCUGUUAAACAGAAAUUAUGCAUUUUUUUGGCCUACUUUCUCUAACCUUUGGAGACAUGCCCAGCUUCUGACAGGCUCUGAUGAUGUCUCAGUGGAGGAAAUCCUACACUGAAGGAAAGCAUGUUGCCCUCUUCACUUAACUUUUCAUUCAUUUUAUAUUUUUCAUUCUAUGUUUAUAUACAAUCCUCCAUUUGGCAAACGUAUGUUAGGCUGUGUCAUCUGGAAAAAAAAAAGACCUGAACAAUCCCAUCCUCCUGCAACGGAAAGCUCAGGACAUCUUAGCGGUUGCGGAUGACAAUUCCACAGACACUUUUCUACGGGAUGCACUCCCACAGGAAAGAAAGCACCAGUCUGGAGGGUCCCAAGAUCUGCAGAAGCUUUGUCGUGGCUUCAUGUCACUCUCAGAGGUGGAUUUAAUGGAGCACGACUGGUUUUUCCACACUGGGUGCCAAGUUGAGAGGGUGCCGUAGGGGGUGCUGCAACAAUGACAAACAAUGGAAUGUGAGAGGCAGUGGCAGUAGGGGGCUGAAAUUAGAUGUUGCACAGGGCACCACUGAAAUUAUAAGACUGUCCCCCUUCCUCAUUGUCUACUAUUUGCAGAUAACAAAAUAACCAGUCCAUGCAGAAUGUAAGCACCCUAUAUAUAGAAAUGAGCAAACCAGUGAUAUUUUAGGGAGCAGG